CAAGAGUCCAUAUCGACGGGAUGGUUUGGCACCUCGAUGUCGGCUCGUCGCAUCCUGGGGCUGGAGUCGGUCCCAAGGGUUGGGCUGUUCGCCCAUUAAAGCGGUACGCGAGCUGGGUUUAGAACGUCGUGAGACAGUUCGGUCCCUAUCCGCUGUGCGCGUAGGAGUCUUGAGAAGGGCUGUCCCUAGUACGAGAGGACCGGGACGGACGAACCUCUGGUGUGCCAGUUGUUCUGCCAAGGGCAUGGCUGGUUGGCUACGUUCGGGAGGGAUAACCGCUGAAAGCAUCUAAGCGGGAAGCCUGCUUCGAGAUGAGGACUCCCACCUCCUAGAGAGGGUAAGGCUCCCAGUAGACGACUGGGUUGAUAGGCCGGAUAUGGAAGCACGGUAACGUGUGGAGUUGACCGGUACUAAUAGGCCGAGGGCUUGUCCUCAGUUG
RNAcentral lists this ribosomal RNA (439 nucleotides) under Actinospica acidiphila. RNAcentral describes it as "partial 23S ribosomal RNA". It matches the Rfam family "Bacterial large subunit ribosomal RNA", at positions 2493 to 2925 of the family's 2925-position model. Lineage: Bacteria; Bacillati; Actinomycetota; Actinomycetes; Catenulisporales; Actinospicaceae. The record is from RNAcentral.